UACGUAGGGGGCUAGCGUUGUCCGGAAUCAUUGGGCGUAAAGCGCGCGUAGGCGGCCCGGUAAGUCCGCUGUGAAAGUCAAAGGAUCAACCUUUGAAUGCCGAUGGAUACUGCCGGGCUAGAGUCCGGAAGAGGCGAGUGGAAUUCCUGGUGUAGCGGUGGAAUGCGCAGAUAUCAGGAGGAACACCUAUAGCGAGGGCAGCUCGCUGGGACGGUACUGACGCUGAGGCGCGAAAGCGUGGGGAGCAAACAGG
Molecule: unclassified non-coding RNA, 253 nt
Filed under: uncultured Solirubrobacterales bacterium
Lineage: Bacteria; Bacillati; Actinomycetota; Thermoleophilia; Solirubrobacterales
Description: contains 16S-23S intergenic spacer region
Rfam family: Bacterial small subunit ribosomal RNA
Source: RNAcentral